This is a long non-coding RNA of Myxocyprinus asiaticus (Chinese sucker), 1424 nucleotides long. RefSeq lists it as uncharacterized. The transcript is spliced from 3 exons. The record is from RefSeq and is a predicted model, not a curated record. Lineage: Eukaryota; Metazoa; Chordata; Actinopteri; Cypriniformes; Catostomidae.
AGUGCUCACAGACAGUGCUUUUGCCUGCGAUGCCCCUUUGGCCUCCAGUAACCCUCACCGUCCAAUCUUUCCUUCAGCUGGCUCGCCUGUGAGACCAGUACUGCCCUGAAGACAACAAGUACCUACAUCCACAGGAGACAAAAUGGAAAGAGGAAAAGAGGAUGCACUUAUGGCGCUUAAGAAAAUUAGGAAGUUGGAGGAGGCUAUGCAGUGAGAAGCCAAUGCUGCUAUGGAACGUUUUUUACAGAUGAUGGAGGAGCAAGAGUCAAGAGAGGCUGCAGCAUGGGAAAGGGAGCUGGCAGAGCGUCGGGAAGAAGCUGCAGAGGCAAGGCGUUAGCAGAGCUUUCUGGACCUUUUUGCAAAGCUUGUGGAGGGGGGACAACCCCCCUGCCCACCCAACACUGGACUAAACCUGCUAUUUAAUAGUAAAUAACAUUAACAAUUUUUUAUUUCUGUGCAUUUUGCAUUUGUACAUAUCCUUGCACAAGAUAAUUCUAUUAUAUUUUGUCUGUGAUUGUUUCUGUUUUUCUAUUGGUUAUCCAAUGUGUUUGAAUAAAGAUUUUAUAGUAAACUGAAGACUUAAAAGAAGUACUCAUGUUAGACUAAAAAAAAAGUAGGGUUUAAAAAUGAGUUAAAUUCAUUCCAAAGUAAUAUUGUUUAAAAUGUAUUAAUUUUGUUCAUAUAAAAUGUAUAGUUUUUAAGGGCAAACUCCUCAUUAAAAUUGCAUCACAUUUAUUUGAAAUAUAUGUACAUUAAAGUUUACUCAGUUCAGUUUGGUGUCAUACCAAGGAGAUGCAUAAAUCUUAUAAAUAGUGAAGUCAUGAAGGUAUAGAUCAAUAGGUUUGCAUUUUCUCAAUAAAAUAGAUGUUUUUUACUACAAUUAGCAUAGUUGAACUAUAGUUCAACUAUGAUAUUCAAAGUAAGACCACAACAAUAAUGCAGGAAAACCCAAACUAUGGUAGUAAAAAUCAUAAUCAUUCUGACACAAAAAAUAAAUAAAUAUUGUUAGUACAGUUUUACUAGAAACACCAUGGUCAAUUUGUGGUACAAGUAUAGUUUAAAAACCAUUGGUUUCACUAUAGUAAACCUUUGUUUUUUAUUUUUUAAACCAUGGUACAUGUACCACAAAUUAACCAUGGUGUUACUAUAGUAAAAGUAACCAUGGUUUGUUUUUUAUUGGCAGAAUGAUUAUAAUUUUUGUUAGCAUAAUUUCCUGAAUUAUUACUACAGUUUUACCACAAAUAUCAUGGUUUAAAUAUGGCUACUGUAGUAAAACCAUAGGUUUACUAAACAUAGUUUAACCAUGAUAUUUGUAGUAAAGCUGUAGUAACCACAAAACAAUAUUACGAUAUUAAAACCAUUUUUUAAAUUAAUGCUAGGGAAGGCAAAACUAUUUUAGAUAGGAAUCAAAAUGAAAUUUAAUA